UGGUCAUUUAGAGGAAGUAAAAGUCGUAACAAGGUCUCCGUUGGUGAACCAGCGGAGGGAUCAUUACCGAGUUUACAACUCCCAAACCCAUGUGAACAUACCUACUGUUGCUUCGGCGGGAUUGCCCCGGGCGCCUCGUGUGCCCCGGAUCAGGCGCCCGCCUAGGAAACUCAACUCUUGUUUUAUUUUGGAAUCUUCUGAGUAGUUUUUACAAAUAAAUAAAAACUUUCAACAACGGAUCUCUUGGUUCUGGCAUCGAUGAAGAACGCAGCGAAAUGCGAUAAGUAAUGUGAAUUGCAGAAUUCAGUGCGAAUCUUUGAACGCACAUUGCGCCCGCCAGUAUUCUGGCGGGCAUGCCUGUCUGAGCGUCAUUUCAACCCUCAUGCCCCUAGGGCGUGGUGUUGGGGAUCGGCCAAAGCCCGCGAGGGACGGCCGGCCCCUAAAUCUAGUGGCGGACCCGUCGUGGCCUCCUCUGCGAAGUAGUGAUAUUCCGCAUCGGAGAGCGACGAGCCCCUGCCGUUAAACCCCCAACUUUCCAAGGUUGACCUCAGAUCAGGUAGGAAUACCCGCUGAACUUAAGCAUAUCAAUAAGCGGAGGA
Molecule: ribosomal RNA, 599 nt
Filed under: uncultured Clonostachys
Lineage: Eukaryota; Fungi; Ascomycota; Sordariomycetes; Hypocreales; Bionectriaceae
Description: eukaryotic LSU rRNA
Rfam family: 5.8S ribosomal RNA (bases 224-371)
Source: RNAcentral